AGUUCUUCAAGGAAUAUCUGAUGGAUUAUCCAGAGGCAAAAAAUCCAAUGAGAUGGAGAUAUUGGUUAAAGAUCUCUGUAAGUCAAAUAUGAUCCAGCCACAAACUUCUGAUGAAAUUAACAAGGACAUCGUCUCGCACUUUGUACUUUGUCUAGUUUAUUGCCGAACAUAAGUUGUUACUGCUUAUUCCGUCAAUAAAACAGUCUUCUCUAAAUGGAUAUAAGCUUUAGUUCUUUGCAACCUGUUUCCUCAUUUGAUCAGGGAGGAAUUGAAAAAAUGGUUCCUUUCAAUGAAGACUACACUCUUUCAUUACCGAUUACGUAUUGAAAAAGCUGAAGCUCAAGUAAAUAUUAAUGCCUUAACAUUUCAUCGAUGUUGUGUCAUUAAUUGAUUUGCUAUUGCUCCAUUUUCUCAUAGAGAGCACUAUGGUGGAAUUUGAUCUUCCAUUCAAAGUGAUUUCAAAUACUGAACUGGAGAAUUUGAAGGAAAAACUUAACCAAGAGGCAAGGUCCAUGGGUUAAUCUCUAUCUACGGCUGGCUCGUGUCAACUAGAGAACGGUUUAAAGGGUGAUAUUGGUGGGUUUGUUAAAAUGAGUGGGGAGAAGAAUGGAAGUGAAGAAGUGAAGCACGUCCUUGAAAUGGUUGAGAUUUCUUCUUAUUAUACAUGAACGAUUAAACUUUACAAAAGAAACCUCAUUUCUUUUUUCGUUCUUCGGGCUAGAAGGGCUUCAUCUAGGAGGGAGAUUCUUACAUCUUAUUUUCUCACGCCACUUUUUCUUAAAGAGUUUGUUUUGAUGUUAGAGAAGUUAGUAGACAUCAAAGUAGUUGCACAAGGAGGAUAUCAUCAGGUUAAAUUACACAAUUUCUUAUGUUUCAGUUGUACAAUGAACAAUUUAUUAUUCAUCCAAAAUUGAUUCAUCAUAUAGCUUUCAACAUCAUAGGCAGAGUGCUGUCAGCUUUCAUUUGGGCAUCCUGAAGUUUUGACUUCUGAGCCUGAUAUUGUUGCGCUGUGCUGUGAGGUGGAUUUGGUAUUAUACCUAUAGUUUCUUAGAGUGUGUUAAAGGAUUGAUUAGAGCAAUAAUUUUGUUAUGUGAUUACAUUUACCAGUAUUUUAGGAAAUUUUGGGUUUCAACCAUGUUCUAAUGGCGACUUCCUCGAUUCAAUUCUCGCUACCGGGAUUGUAAGGGAGAAGUUGGGUGAUAUACUCUUGCAGGUACCAUCUCAAAUUUGUUUCUUGUUUCACCAUGAUGUGGUUUCAACAUCUUGUCAAAUAGCAUAAAAAUACACAUUCCAUUGAGAUCUUGUGAAUGCAUUUCAUCAUUUUUUCCCCUAUUUUCCUAAAUUUCUUUGGAACCUUAUUAUCUAUUAAGACAAAAAUGGAAGAGAUGAAGUUGGGUGUUGUAGAUCUGUCUCCCAGGCUCUUUUUCACCUUAGAGAUUGUAGAUAUUGCUUUGUUCCUCAUGAAAAUUUAUUGUUUAUGAGUUUCAUCAUUCAAUUAAACUAGAGAUAGGGUUAUUGAUUAUUUGGUUAGCCUACAUUAAAUUUGUGUAUAACUGUUGUAACUACUAUUGUGCUUAAAUUUAGAUUUGAUUUCCAUAAUCUCUUUAUGAUUUUUGUCCUACUGUCACUUUAGAUUAUUUUGUCCUAUUUAUAAUCUUCUGUUCUUGCUCCUUAGAUGUGUUUAAAAGCUUUAAUUUAGAUUACAUAACAUGAAUUUUAGGAGUUGUAUUUGUCAAUUUUAAAUAUAAUACAGAAGGCCAUUCAAGCAUACCAAGCUCUGAUUAUAUUUGGGAGAGGACACUACCUUUCUAUUCAAGGAAGUUUUACAAAUUCGAAUCCUGUUGAUAUCUAAGAUUAUGUUUAACUUUGCAAGUUUAUCAAUAUGUUUCAGUAAUUGAUUUAAGUAGAGAAGUGGUUGAAAGAUGAAAGAGGAGUCAUAUCUCUAUAGGAGUAGUUAUUGGAGUGUUGUUUUCUUUAUUGACACUCUUAUGUAUCAGAUAUCACAGAUUAUUUUAUGAUGUAAAGUUUUAAUA
This is a long non-coding RNA of Impatiens glandulifera, 2033 nucleotides long. RefSeq lists it as uncharacterized. Lineage: Eukaryota; Viridiplantae; Streptophyta; Magnoliopsida; Ericales; Balsaminaceae. The transcript is spliced from 4 exons. The record is from RefSeq and is a predicted model, not a curated record.